Molecule: long non-coding RNA, 270 nt
Filed under: Elaeis guineensis (African oil palm)
Lineage: Eukaryota; Viridiplantae; Streptophyta; Magnoliopsida; Arecales; Arecaceae
Description: long non-coding RNA (EGUI_LNC002898)
Source: RNAcentral
GAUGCCAUAAUUUUUUUACAGGAUGUUAUAAAUAAAUAAGGUAUUUUCAUCAACGCAAGAUAUCGUACUAUUAGCAAAGGAUGUCAUAAUUUUUUUGAAAAGAAAAAAAUAUUUUUGUCAUUUAAAAUUUUAAAUGAAAAAAUAGAAUUAUGAAUAUUAAAUAUACGUUGGAAAAUGAUAAUUACAUGAUUCAAUAAGAUGAAGUGGUGCAUCAGAUUUUCUACGCCGCGGAUGGUGCACAAAGAAUUUCUCUGGACUGUUAUGUCAAAU